Molecule: long non-coding RNA, 692 nt
Organism: Olea europaea var. sylvestris
Lineage: Eukaryota; Viridiplantae; Streptophyta; Magnoliopsida; Lamiales; Oleaceae
Exons: 3
Source: RefSeq, a predicted model, not a curated record
CCCCUCCCAAAACAAAUCUGGGGUUUAGAGAGAGAUCGCAGAAUUGUGUCACUGUAUACUGGUAAAAAUGGCGAAUCCCCAACAAGCUUCGAGUCGGGCAUGGAUUCUUGAAUUCAUACCUCUAAUGGUAGUCAUUCUCAUUGGCGCCCACGUCUUCGCUCUGGUUUACUGGAUUUACAGACUAGCAACUGAGAAACAGUCAAAGAACGAAAAAGCACUAGACUAGAAAAGAACAGUUAUACUCAAUCCGAUUUGAUGUGGCUGAAGAAGGAAUGUCUUUUGAUGAUUAAUUCAUUUUAUAGAGAGAAAAGCCAUCUGAAAGAGGUCACAGGUUCUACCUCAUUAACUCAUACAUUUCUUGGGUUUUUCGUGCCUUGCAUCUGAGCUUUCAUCCGAUGAGUGGGAUUAUGUAGUAUCAGUUGAUAAAUGUCAGCCAAAUAGAUUUUCUUUUCCAGAAAUAGGGCUGUGAAUGUCAAUUCCGGGCAUGUAAUUCAACUUAAAACCAUUCUUCCAGAAUUGAUGUUGGCAUGUUGAGUUUCUAUUUGUAAUAUGUGGAGUACUCCAAAAUUCUACUUGGUCUCUUUAAUGCAUGUCCAAGUGUUCUAUAACGUAUUCCAUCAUCCAAACUCGAAUGGAAAAUAAGACCUUUGGCACUGUUUGAUUCAUGGGACUAGAUUCGGGAGGAGGCUGAA